AGCUAGAGAUGGAUCUCGGACGGUGCAAGCACAGCUUAGCUCUGUAGGAUCAGUGGCGAACGGGUGAGUAACACGUGAGCAACGUGCCCCAGACUCUGGGAUAACAGCUGGAAACAGCUGCUAAUACCGGAUACGAGACGUGAAGGCAUCUUCAACGUCUGGAAAGAAUUUCGGUCUGGGAUCGGCUCGCGGCCUAUCAGCUAGUUGGUGAGGUAACGGCUCACCAAGGCGUCGACGGGUAGCCGGCCUGAGAGGGUGACCGGCCACACUGGGACUGAGACACGGCCCAGACUCCUACGGGAGGCAGCAGUGGGGAAUAUUGCACAAUGGGCGAAAGCCUGAUGCAGCAACGCCGCGUGAGGGACGACGGCCUUCGGGUUGUAAACCUCUUUUAGCAGGGAAGAAGCGAAAGUGACGGUACCUGCAGAAAAAGCACCGGCUAACUACGUGCCAGCAGCCGCGGUAAUACGUAGGGUGCAAGCGUUAUCCGGAAUUAUUGGGCGUAAAGAGCUCGUAGGCGGUUUGUCGCGUCUGCUGUGAAAACCCGAGGCUCAACCUCGGGCCUGCAGUGGGUACGGGCAGACUAGAGUGCGGUAGGGGAGAUUGGAACUCCUGGUGUAGCGGUGGAAUGCGCAGAUAUCAGGAAGAACACCGAUGGCGAAGGCAGAUCUCUGGGCCGUAACUGACGCUGAGGAGCGAAAGGGUGGGGAGCAAACAGGCUUAGAUACCCUGGUAGUCCACCCCGUAAACGUUGGGAACUAGUUGUGGGGUCCAUUCCACGGAUUCCGUGACGCAGCUAACGCAUUAAGUUCCCCGCCUGGGGAGUACGGCCGCAAGGCUAAAACUCAAAGGAAUUGACGGGGACCCGCACAAGCGGCGGAGCAUGCGGAUUAAUUCGAUGCAACGCGAAGAACCUUACCAAGGCUUGACAUAUACGAGAACGGGCUAGAAAUAGUCAACUCUUUGGACACUCGUAAACAGGUGGUGCAUGGUUGUCGUCAGCUCGUGUCGUGAGAUGUUGGGUUAAGUCCCGCAACGAGCGCAACCCUCGUUCUAUGUUGCCAGCACGUAAUGGUGGGAACUCAUGGGAUACUGCCGGGGUCAACUCGGAGGAAGGUGGGGAUGACGUCAAAUCAUCAUGCCCCUUAUGUCUUGGGCUUCACGCAUGCUACAAUGGCCGGUACAAAGGGCUGCAAUACCGUAAGGUGGAGCGAAUCCCAAAAAGCCGGUCCCAGUUCGGAUUGAGGUCUGCAACUCGACCUCAUGAAGUCGGAGUCGCUAGUAAUCGCAGAUCAGCAACGCUGCGGUGAAUACGUUCCCGGGUCUUGUACACACCGCCCGUCAAGUCAUGAAAGUCGGUAACACCUGAAGCCGGUGGCCCAACCCUUGUGGAGGGAGCCGUCGAA
This 1406-nucleotide ribosomal RNA is filed under the name Microbacterium terricola. Its description in RNAcentral is "bacterial SSU rRNA". It matches the Rfam family "Bacterial small subunit ribosomal RNA". The record is from RNAcentral. Lineage: Bacteria; Bacillati; Actinomycetota; Actinomycetes; Micrococcales; Microbacteriaceae.